GCAAGUCGAGCGAGACAAGUUUUAAGUUUACUUGAAACUUUGAAAGCGGCGGACGAGCGAGUAACACGUAAGAACCUGCCCUGUACUCAGGGAUAACUCGGUGAAAGCCGAGCUAAUACCGGAUGGUCUCGAAAGAGUAAAGAUUUAUCGGUACGGGAGGGGCUUGCGGACUAUCAGCUAGUUGGUGGGGUAAUAGCCCACCAAGGCUAUGACGGAUAGCUGGUGUGAGAGCAUGACC
Molecule: ribosomal RNA, 238 nt
Filed under: uncultured bacterium
Lineage: Bacteria
Description: partial 16S ribosomal RNA
Rfam family: Bacterial small subunit ribosomal RNA
Source: RNAcentral